RNAcentral lists this ribosomal RNA (433 nucleotides) under uncultured bacterium. RNAcentral describes it as "partial 16S ribosomal RNA". It matches the Rfam family "Bacterial small subunit ribosomal RNA", at positions 29 to 507 of the family's 1533-position model. The record is from RNAcentral.
AACGAACGCUGGCGGCAUGCCUAACACAUGCAAGUCGAACGAGACCUUCGGGUCUUGUGGCGCACGGGUGCGUAACGCGUGGGAACCUGCCCUUAGGUUCGGAAUAACUCCCCGACAGGGGUGCUAAUACCGGAUAAUGUCUUCGGCCCAAAGAUUUAUCGCCUUUGGAUGGGCCCGCGUUGGAUUCGCUUGUUGGUAGGGUAAAAGCCUACCAAGGCGACGAUCCAUAGCUGGUCUGAGAGGAUGAUCAGCCACACUGGGACUGAGACACGGCCCAGACUCCUACGGGAGGCAGCAGUGGGGAAUAUUGGACAAUGGGCGAAAGCCUGAUCCAGCAAUGCCGCGUGAGUGAUGAAGGCCUUAGGGUUGUAAAGCUCUUUUACCCGGGAUGAUAAUGACAGUACCGGGAGAAUAAGCUCCGGCUAACUCCGUG